AUUGUAUGUGUCUGUAUGUGUGUGUGGGACACGAUUACGUUGUUGAAAUAUUCGUCGUUUCUCCCCCUAGGGGGCCGACACUAGUCUACCCAAUAUCUACAGUGGGCACUAGGCUUGUUCUUUUCGCUUUCCUCUCUUCAAGGAGCUCUCUUCAACUUGUGAUAGAGGACGAAUAUUGUGUUGAAAUCAGACUUAUUGUAUGUGUCUGUAUGUGUGUGUGGGACACGAUUACGUUGUUGAAAUAUUCGUCGUUUCUCCCCCUAGGGGGCCGACACUAGUCUACCCAAUAUCUACAGUGGGCACUAGGCUUGUUCUUUUCGCUUUCCUCUCUUCAAGGAGCUCUCUUCAACUUGUGAUAGAGGACGAAUAUUGUGUUGAAAUCAGACUUAUUGUAUGUGUCUGUGUGUGUGUGUCGUUCACGAUUACGUUGAGGAAAUAUUCGUCGUUUCUUCCCCGCUGGGGCGCGACUCUACCCAAUAUCUACAGUACGUACGUUCUUAUAUUGGCGCUUUCCUCUUUCCAAGGACGCUCUUCAACUUGUGAUAGAGGACGAAUAUUGUGUUGAAAUCAGACGUAUUUGAAAGUUCGUGUAUUUUGACGGUUUGACGGUUGUGCUCACGGUAGAGACAGUGACAGUGAAUGAACAGCAACAGCAACAGCAACAACGACAACGAUAAUUACAACAACAACAACAACAACAACAACAACAAUAACAACAACGACGACGACAGUAGCAACUUCGCUACAGCUGUACCGCAUCUAGCAUCAUCACUUGUGCUACAACAGCAGCAACAGCAACAACAACGAUAACAACAACGACAAUAACAGCAACAACGACGACAAUAACAACAACAAUAACGACGACAACGACGACGACGACAGCAGCUACUUCGCUACAGCUGCCCCGCAUCUAACGACAUCACCACAACUCAUACUUCACAACAACAACAACAACGGACGCAACGACCUCAGCAGCUGCAGCAAAAACCUGCUACGAACUCGUCGACGACAACCACUACAACUACAACGACAACUUCAUCAACUACAACAACAACAGCAGCAGCAACUACAACAACUACAGCAAUUACAUUACAUCAAAGAAACAGUACGGUGUCUGUGUUGACAAGCUGUCACCGCACCGACUCUGGUGAAAUGCUGCAGUCGUUGUUGUCGCUGCUUCUCUUCAAUAACUCGUGUGGAACGGAGUGAAAGAAAGAAAGAAAGAAAGGAAGAAAGAAAGAAAGAAAGAAAAAGAGAAAAGAAAGAAAGAAAGAGAAAAAGAAGAAAAAAAGAAAGAAAGAAAG
Molecule: long non-coding RNA, 1304 nt
Organism: Aplysia californica (California sea hare)
Lineage: Eukaryota; Metazoa; Mollusca; Gastropoda; Aplysiida; Aplysiidae
Exons: 2
Source: RefSeq, a predicted model, not a curated record